This 74-nucleotide transfer RNA is filed under the name Roseivirga spongicola. It matches the Rfam family "tRNA". From Rfam's summary of the family: Transfer RNA (tRNA) molecules are approximately 80 nucleotides in length. Their secondary structure includes four short double-helical elements and three loops (D, anti-codon, and T loops). Further hydrogen bonds mediate the characteristic L-shaped molecular structure. tRNAs have two regions of fundamental functional importance: the anti-codon, which is responsible for specific mRNA codon recognition, and the 3' end, to which the tRNAs corresponding amino acid is attached (by aminoacyl-tRNA synthetases). tRNAs cope with the degeneracy of the genetic code in two manners: having more than one tRNA (with a specific anti-codon) for a particular amino acid; and 'wobble' base-pairing, i.e. permitting non-standard base-pairing at the 3rd anti-codon position. RNAcentral also lists the same sequence under 3 other names. The record is from Rfam by way of RNAcentral. Lineage: Bacteria; Pseudomonadati; Bacteroidota; Cytophagia; Cytophagales; Roseivirgaceae.
GGGGGUUUAGCUCAGCUGGCUAGAGCGCUACACUGGCAGUGUAGAGGUCACCGGUUCGAAUCCGGUAUCCUCCA